GUGAGGAAUAUUGCGCAAUGGACGAAAGUCUGACGCAGCGACGCCGCGUGGGCGACGAAGGCCUUCGGGUUGUAAAGCCCUUUUGGCAGGGACGAGUGAGGACGGUACCUGUCGAAUAAGUCUCGGCUAACUACGUGCCAGCAGCCGCGGUAAAACGUAGGAGGCGAGCGUUAUCCGGAUUUACUGGGCGUAAAGCGUGCGUAGGCGGUUGGUCAAGUCAGAUGUUAAAGCCCCUGGCUCAACUAGGGGAGGUCAUUUGAUACUGGCCGGCUUGAGGGUGAGAGAGGAGAGUGGAAUUCCCGGUGUAGCGGUGGAAUGCGUAGAGAUCGGGAGGAACACCAGUGGCGAAAGCGGCUCUCUGGCUCACUUCUGACGCUGAGUGCACGAAAGCGUGGGGAGCAAACGGGAUUAGAAACCCGAGUAGUCC
This 427-nucleotide ribosomal RNA is filed under the name uncultured bacterium. RNAcentral's name for it is "bacterial SSU rRNA". It matches the Rfam family "Bacterial small subunit ribosomal RNA", at positions 354 to 796 of the family's 1533-position model. The record is from RNAcentral.